ACGAACGCUGGCGGCAGGCCUAACACAUGCAAGUCGAACGAGAAGCCACCUUCGGGUGGUGGAAAGUGGCAGACGGGUGAGUAACGCGUGGGAACGUACCCUUUGGUUCGGAACAACUCCGGGAAACUGGAGCUAAAACCGGAUAAGCCCUACGGGGGAAAGAUUUAUCGCCGAAGGAUCGGCCCGCGUCGGAUUAGCUAGUUGGUGAGGUAACGGCUCACCAAGGCUACGAUCCGUAGCUGGUCUGAGAGGAUGAUCAGCCACACUGGGACUGAGACACGGCCCAGACUCCUACGGGAGGCAGCAGUGGGGAAUAUUGGACAAUGGGCGCAAGCCUGAUCCAGCCAUGCCGCGUGAGUGAUGAAGGCCUUAGGGUUGUAAAGCUCUUUCGCCAGGGACGAUAAUGACGGUACCUGGAUAAGAAGCCCCGGCUAACUUCGU
RNAcentral lists this ribosomal RNA (441 nucleotides) under uncultured bacterium. RNAcentral's name for it is "bacterial SSU rRNA". It matches the Rfam family "Bacterial small subunit ribosomal RNA", at positions 29 to 506 of the family's 1533-position model. The record is from RNAcentral.